RNAcentral lists this ribosomal RNA (465 nucleotides) under Vreelandella stevensii. RNAcentral's name for it is "partial 16S ribosomal RNA". It matches the Rfam family "Bacterial small subunit ribosomal RNA", at positions 338 to 795 of the family's 1533-position model. The record is from RNAcentral. Lineage: Bacteria; Pseudomonadati; Pseudomonadota; Gammaproteobacteria; Oceanospirillales; Halomonadaceae.
CCUACGGGGGGCUGCAGUGGGGAAUAUUGGACAAUGAGGGGAACCCUGAUCCAGCCAUGCCGCGUGUGUGAAGAAGGCCCUCGGGUUGUAAAGCACUUUCCGUGAGGAAGAACGCCUGGUGGUUAAUACCCAUCAGGAAAGACAUCACUCACAGAAGAAGCACCGGCUAACUCCGUGCCAGCAGCCGCGGUAAUACGGAGGGUGCGAGCGUUAAUCGGAAUUACUGGGCGUAAAGCGCGCGUAGGUGGCUUGAUAAGCCGGUUGUGAAAGCCCCGGGCUCAACCUGGGAACGGCAUCCGGAACUGUCAAGCUAGAGUGCAGGAGAGGAAGGUAGAAUUCCCGGUGUAGCGGUGAAAUGCGUAGAGAUCGGGAGGAAUACCAGUGGCGAAGGCGGCCUUCUGGACUGACACUGACACUGAGGUGCGAAAGCGUGGGUAGCAAACAGGAUUAGAUACCCUAGUAGUC